UGGGGAAUUUUGGACAAUGGGCGAAAGCCUGAUCCAGCAAUGCCGCGUGUGUGAAGAAGGCCUUCGGGUUGUAAAGCACUUUUGUCCGGAAAGAAAUCCUUGGCUCUAAUACAGUCGGGGGAUGACGGUACCGGAAGAAUAAGCACCGGCUAACUACGUGCCAGCAGCCGCGGUAAUACGUAGGGUGCAAGCGUUAAUCGGAAUUACUGGGCGUAAAGCGUGCGCAGGCGGUUUGCUAAGACCGAUGUGAAAUCCCCGGGCUCAACCUGGGAACUGCAUUGGUGACUGGCAGGCUAGAGUAUGGCAGAGGGGGGUAGAAUUCCACGUGUAGCAGUGAAAUGCGUAGAGAUGUGGAGGAAUACCGAUGGCGAAGGCAGCCCCCUGGGCCAAUACUGACGCUCAUGCACGAAAAGCGUGGGGAGCAAACAGGAUUAGAUACCCUGGUAGUCCACGCCCUAAAACGAUGUCAACUAGUUGUUGGGGAUUCAUUUCCUUAGUAACGUAGCUAACGCGUGAAGUUGACCGCCUGGGGAGUACGGUCGCAAGAUUAAAAACUCAAAUGAAUUGACGGGGUCAUAGCUGUUUCCU
Molecule: ribosomal RNA, 588 nt
Filed under: uncultured bacterium
Lineage: Bacteria
Description: partial 16S ribosomal RNA
Rfam family: Bacterial small subunit ribosomal RNA
Source: RNAcentral